AGUACAUUACACAUGCAAAUUAUACGUUUUAUAUAUAUAAUAUAUAAAAUAUGUAGUGCAAACGUGAGUAAAAAAUAUGAAUAUAAGAACUAUAAAUAAAGUUAAAUACUUUAUAAAUAUAUAUAUAUAUAUUAAUAUAUAAAUAUAUAUAAAAAGAAUAUUAUAUAAAAUAAUAUUUGUUUAUAGUCUAUCAUAUAAUGGUUUAGGUAGUAGGUAUUAUAAAGGUUAUACCUAGCCAACGAUCCAUAAUCAUUAAUUAAAGUUAUAAUGAUCACGUUGAUUUUGAAAUAUAAUCAAUAUCUAUAUGAUACAGCAGUGGGGAAUAUUGGACAAUGGUAUAAAUACUGAUCCAGUAACUUAUAAGAAUGAUA
This 371-nucleotide ribosomal RNA is filed under the name Naumovozyma castellii. RNAcentral describes it as "partial small subunit ribosomal RNA". It matches the Rfam family "Bacterial small subunit ribosomal RNA", at positions 44 to 395 of the family's 1533-position model. Lineage: Eukaryota; Fungi; Ascomycota; Saccharomycetes; Saccharomycetales; Saccharomycetaceae. The record is from RNAcentral.